AUGGCAGGUUUUGUGAUUUUGUGUUGGAAUUGUCGAGGAUUGGGGACGGAUUCCACAGUUGGCGAGCUGCGCUGGUUGGUGCAGACCUAUCGCCCAUCUCUCCUUUUCUUGUCUGAGACAAAGAUGGCAGAGAAAAGGGUGAGAAACUUCAUGUGUUCACUGGGAUUUUCAAAUUCUUAUGCAGUACGUAGUGAGGGCCAAAGUGGAGGCUUAUGUUUGUUU
RNAcentral lists this ribosomal RNA (222 nucleotides) under Triticum aestivum (bread wheat). RNAcentral's name for it is "partial small subunit ribosomal RNA". Lineage: Eukaryota; Viridiplantae; Streptophyta; Magnoliopsida; Poales; Poaceae. The record is from RNAcentral.